AGGCUUCUUCUCCCUUGAUGGAACAAUGAAUUAGGGUUGAGAGGCUCCCUCCUCCAGGGGCCAGGGGGUCUGGUUUUAUAGUCCCUUCAAGUGAAUAUGGGCCAUUAGAUCAAACCGACAUAGAUUGUAUGGUUUAGAUUCAUCCUUUAGGUUGGUGGAGAUCUCCCGCAAAGCAGAGUCCUGAUUGGACUCCUGGAGAGGGCAGGCGCCCAGGGGAACAGGGCGGGCGCCUUGCCUCUGGCCUCGUUUCGCCUCCGCUUCGGUCUCGUGGCUUCUGGAGUCCUCUAGAUGUAAGAUAAUUGCGCGGCACGUUAAUAUCUUUACGGAAUCCCGACGUGUGGGCCUUUCUUCCGUAUUUCCUGAUAACCCCCUGCAGAAAUAGACAAACACCAAAACUCGUGGAAUUCUGUCAGAUAAAACCCUAAGUCUAGAUGUUGAUUUCAUUUGGAUCCUUUUCUUUAUUUAUUUGAUAAUUAAAUUUGAUACUUAAGGACCGUCAACAAACUCCCCCAAGCUUACCUCUUGCUCGUCCCUGAGCAAGGAUAGACUCAGCUAUGGAUCAUAAGUUGCUGCAAUAUCUUUAAAAAUUGACGGUACACAUGCUUUUAAAUAAGAUCUCAUCUCUGAGUUAGAGUAAACUGUCAAGACUUAAAACUUACUUACUUUACCUUCACCAUGGGACUUGUAACCGUCACUUCUGUCUUGAGUAGUUAAAAGAUAGAACAGUCCAGCCAAGUGCCAUAUCUCUUAUUCUUGAUCAGCUAUAGCUCUGGGGUUUUUGCAGAUUUUCAAAUAAAACUCAGAGAUUCCUUGUAUGACUCUCUCAAAUCUCUCUUUUGAUGGUAUAUGCCUUCUCUCAAGAUAUGUAGUAUUUGUGGUAUAAAGCAUAGUGACAUUGCCUUCUCUCUCACCCUACUCUAAUAAGGCUUUAAUAUCUGGUGCUCAUAGGUGGGAGAUAAAGUAUACAUACUUACAAGACAUGUAUUGCAUAGUCAAACCAUGGAUCCAAAGAAACAAAUCAAUAAGUUUAAUCAAGAUGUGCAUGUGUGGCGAAUGAAUGGUGUAUGGUGAUGAUGGUAAUAACAAUGGUGAAAACAAUGGUGGUGGAAGUCUAAUUCUACUUUGCUCUUUGAGGGGAUACAUACCUUUCUUGCUUUUUGAAACUUUAUGAGGAGAAUGAGAUGCUCUAUAUUUUUUUCUUUUCUCUCAGGUGGGUAUCUUGCACCCCCUAAUUCUACUGUCGGACACUUGUCCAUUUUUACCUCUCGUCUCACUUUUUUCUUUUUCUUUCGAGGUUCCGAGCACUUGCUCCUUUUUAUUUCCUCGUAUCUUUUUAUUUUCUUCUUUUUUUUAGAGCACUCAUCUCAUGAGAUAAUAUAGCAAGUGGUAGUAACAAGAUAACUUCAGCAUUUAUUUCACAAGGGAAAAACAGAAAUAUUUUUUGGUUAUUCUCUCCCGGAUUAGGAGUAGAAUAUUUUUGGGUGAUUCUGGAGAUGGAAUGGGUGGAUAUAUGUGGAUGGUACUUCCGGAGUAGAAGUAGCAUAUAUGAGUGGACGUGGAAGUGAAAUCUUGAUUUAACCACAUGACAAGUUCCUAAGGGUCUACACAGCUUGACCACACUCAAUGCUCAUAAGCAGUAAAUAGUAAAUGUGUGGCUCAAAGUCCAGCAAGCAUGUAUAUAUGGCUGUGGGAGGAAUUUAAACUCUCAUCAUACAGGAACUCAUCAUGCAACAUUUUAAAGAUUUUCAAAAUUUUCCAGAAUUCUAGCAUCUCUAGGAACAGAUAAACAGCAGCCCAACCUUCCCAUAUCGUAUCCGUUAACAACUUAGACUUCAGAUCAAAUUUUCAUCCCACAAGUUUAGGUCUAGGGCAAGCUUUAAAUUAUAACAGCUAUGUCUAAACUUAAGAGAGAACUUAAAAUGUGCAAAUUAGGCAGAGCAACUAUUCAUCAUAUCCAUGCUUAAGUUUUAUUUAGAUACAGAUUAGCAUAGCCACUUUAUUUAUUUAUUAAACACACUAAGCAAAAGAUAUAUAUAUAUAAGCAUAAAAUCUUUAUUUGUUUUUUCAUAGUUUAUGUAUUUUAAUAUUCUAAUAUAAUAGAAGUAUAAAGAUAGAUAGAUAGAAAUACUUAUCGAGAUAAAUGGGGGUGCUCUCCCCCAAGCUGAAUUUUGACGUAAUUUCUCUUGAUGUAGCUAGCAGGUGGCAGAGGUGUAUUUGAAAGUCAGCAGCAUUCUGACAGCGAUUAGAAUGUCCUCCGUCUGCUAGUCUUCCUAAAUUCUGUGGAGCUCGAAUAGACAACAAAGAUUGUGGAACUGAUUAAGUGUUAGCAUAAAUAUCUAGCCUUUAUCAUGUUGAGACUCCUUAAUAAUUAUUACUCCCUGUUUUUAUAUUUUCAUUUUUAUAAAGCAGAAAAGAAAUAUUUAUUUUAUUUUUAUACCACCACAGUGAAUGUACUUAUGGGUUUUAUGCCACUCGUAUACUCACAUGGGGCUUACUGUUUUUCAUAUUUUUUUAUUUUCUUUUUAGAAUAGCACAAACAUGAUUAACUAAAUAAACUAGUUGAAAUAAUUAAAAGAGAAAGGAUAACUACCAAGUUUACCUCUUGGCAAGGCGUUCGGUGUUUUUAAGUCCUCCGAAUGGGACUCUCCAUUUUCUUAAUCGUCCUGAGGUUCGUUGGGUGGCGUAGUCAGUACUUCCGGCAGCGCCUCCUCUUCAUGUAUAGUUAUCUUCAUUUUCCACACCUGGCUCGGUGCUUCAAUCUCCUCUGGAUAAUUCUGUUUAAACUCAGCAUCUUCUGAUCUUACAACUUCUCCUUCGUAGUCUGCCCAUCCGUCCUUGAUGAUCUGCCUCCUUUGGAUGCGGUUGCGUCUUUUCCUUACCUGCUUCGAUUCUUCAACGAUAUAGUUAGGGUCAGUAAAGUAACGGCGUACCUUCUCUGAGGGGAAGUGCAUAUGGAUUUCUCCGGUUCCAAUGUAGAUAAUUGCUUUAACGGUGCUGAGGAACGGUCUUCCAAGGAUGAUGGGUGGAUCGUACUCAUCUUCUCCCAUGUCAAUAACUUGAAAGUCUGUGUAGACAAAAUGAUCGUCUAUUCUGACUGGGACAUCAGUUACUGUUCCUUUAACUUCUCGAAAUGUCUGAUCUGCCAUCUGGAGCUGAAUGUAUGUUGGUCUUAGUGGCAUGGUUCCGAACAAGAGCCGAUAGGUGACUGCGGCCAUUAUGUUGACGCCCGAUCCGGUGUCACAAGUUGCCUUGUAGAAGUUGUAUCCAUUUAUGGAGCAGUAGAUGCUUGGCAUUCCUGGGUCGUCCUUCUUAGUCAAAAGCGGUGACUUAAGUUGGUGAUCUUGGCCUCUAUGAACUACAGUGACCAUCUUAGCUGAUUCGGUCCACACUUGCUUGUUUCUGUUCCUCCUGUUGGUCCUCUUCCUUGAUUCACGUCUGGAUUGAUCUAGAAUUUGUGUAGUCUUGUUCUUGAAGAAAAAUGUCUCCUUCCUCCCUUUGACGUAGAAACUGAUCUUGGCAGCACUGGCGUAGAUGAUAGCUCCCGUGGUGUUCAAGAAUGGCCUCCCUAAGAUGAUGGGUGCUCUCUCAUCAUUUUCGGUCUCUACUACUACGAAGUCUGCUAGGGCAUACAAGGUACCAACUCGGACACAAAGGUUCUUCAAUAUUCCUUUUGGAAAAGUUAUCGUCUGAUCUGCAAACUGCAAACACAUGGUUGUUUCUAAUAAAGGAUAUGUAAAGAAUUUUUCAUAGAGUACCCUGGGUAUAAUGUUGACGCUGGAGCCAAAGUCGCAGAGUGCUUCUGGAACGUCCACCAUGCCGAUGGAGAUCAGGAUGACGGGGCGUCCUGGAUCGUCUCUCUUGACCGGCAGAAGGUCAGUAGAGAAUUCAUUGACGGGGUUACUCCAAUUACCUGCAUCAAACAUGUCUACAAGAUUUGCAGAUUCUAAUCCUUCCGGUUGUGAUGGUAUACCAGGGUUAGUAGUAGGAACAGCAGCAGCUAUUUGAUUUAACUGAGAUUCAAUCAUUUUAUUAAAGCUAAUUUGAUUCUUGAUGGCAGUAGAGAAAUUAUCCAUUCUAUUAUUUAUAUUUUCUAGCAUUUUAUCAUUAGAUGCCAAUUUCUUAGAUAGGUUAUCCAUUAGCUUUCCUUGAUUAGACACUAACUCUCUCAAAGGUGGAAAAUUAUUAUUAUUGUUGUAAGAAUUGUUACCUUGAUAAUUACCUGAGUAGUUAGGCCUCUGUUGAUUCCAACCUUGAUUUUGUUGAGGACGGUUGUAGUAGUUGUUGUUGUUGUUGAUGUAGUUUACAUCCUCAAGUAUCUCAGGGCAGUGAUUGCCUGAGUGUCCAGUGUCUCCACACUCCUCACAAGUCAUGUGAGAGUCGUAGAUGUGCAUAACUUCCUUCUUAUCUCCAGCUCUAUCGUCGAGCUUCUUCAUGAGCAGGUCUAGCUUUGCAGACAGCAUGUCUACCUCCUUCAGCUGAUGCAUACCUCCACCUCUCUUGUGUGUCUGGGUCCUCUCUUCAUUCCAGCUUUGAUGGGACGCCAUCUUCUCCACAAGAGUUGUGGCUUGUGGUAUAGUAAGUGAUAAGAAUGCUCCUCCAGCUUCAGCAUCCAUGGUCUCUCAGGCACUGUUGUUGAGCCCAUGAUAAAAUGUCUGCAUCAAUAGCCAACUCUCCAUUCCAUGAUGGGGACAUUCUAGGAUGAGUCUUGAAAGCGCUCCCAUGCUUCUGGAACAGAUUCAUCAUUUUGUUGCUGAAAACUUGUAAUCUUCCCACGGAGAGCAUUGGUCUUGCCCAUGGGAAAGAACUUUGCCAGGAAGUUUGUUGAGCAGAGUGCCCACGUAGUAUUCUUCUCCUUUGUAGCGUAAAACCACUGCUUCGCUCUUCCUAACAGUGAGAAAGGGAAGAGGCGAAGUAGUAUAGCAUCUUUGGAAACUCCUGAUAUGGUGAAUCCGUAGCAAAUCUCCAGGAAGUGUUGUAAAUGAGCACUAGCGUCUUCGUGUGCCUUCCUACAGAACUGGUUGGAUUGCACCAUGUUGAUAAGUCCAGGCUUGAGCUCAAAGUUGCCGUCGAUUUCUGCAGCAGGUCCAGUGCGGAUGUUGUCCGUAGUGGGAGCUGAGAACUCGCGGAUUGAUUUGUUCGCCAUGGCUUCGAACUUUGAAGACAAGUUCCGGUGAUCUUCUUGAUUGGAUGAAGCUUUUUGCUGAAGUGUUGAUGAUCUCUUCUUGAGCUUGGCUCUCGUCUUCUUGAAUAAUGCUUCGGGAUUGUCAACAAAAUUUCCUGGAAGAUGUCUUCUAUUCAUACAUUCCCCUGCAUAAGAUAAAAUAGGAAAAUAUCAGGGUAAAACUGUAUGAGAGAAUAGAUAAGCUCAAUCAUAUUAGUGAUGCGAAUGAUAACUCAAAAUCUUUUAUUCCAUUCCUGAUUAGUAAUCAACCUUCCCCGGCAACGGCGCCAAAAAUGCUUGUUGGGUAUUCUUAACAUCAUUACCAAAAGUAGACUAAGUUCUCUAAAUCUAGUAACGGUGCCAAAAAUGUCAAACCUAUCCCUCACGUCACUUAAGCCAAGUUGUCAUCCCCAGCAUGAUAUAAGAGACGCGGUAUUGAAAUAUGCAAUUGCUCUUCUAAAUAAAUAAUGAAUGGGAUCUGCAAGCGCACAGAUUAAUACCGAUGCAGCAUUUUAACCGGGAAGUAUUCCAGGUAUCGUUAUUUAUAUUUUUACCACUGGGAAGGGAUUAGCAAUCAUCACUAUUGAUUACAGAAUAGAAUAUGAGAUUGAGCAUCUAUCAUUUCAUGUAUAAUUGAGAACAUUAUAUCUAACUCUUCAAACAGGGAUAAGUGUCACAUAAAAGAUAUAUGAAAUAAUAAUAGUGACAAGGAUAACUAAUCUGAUCUAGCCACAUAUUAAAUAUGAUAAGCACCUCAAUUAGAUACUCUAGAAAGUCAUUAGCAUGGUAUUAGAACGAACUACAAGAAUAUUCCCUAAGUUAUUCUCAACUAUAUAGUCUAGCAUAUCAUAGUUAGUGCAAGCAUACUUAGCAAUCAUUGUGAGACAAGACUACGCCCAUGCAUAGUGAUAUUAGCAAGGAAUAUGAGAAACAUAGCAAUCACUCCCCUGUAAUAAUGUUGCUCUGCCAGCCCAAUACACGAGAGGGGGACUAUAUAAGAAUCAAUGAAGCUGUCACUAUCACGAACCACCCCACGAUCUGGUAUAUUGGGUACAAUCGCAGAUAAAUACGGUAUAAGCACCACGCCUACACAAUAUCUAUCAUUUACCCAUGGAUCCGAUGGAUAAAUGCUAUACGAUCCUAAGCAUGUAUAUAGAUCUAAUCUAACUAAGCCAAGUACAUAACUAUGAUAAACUAAGAACAAUAUAAUCUUGAAUAUAAGCAAGUAGAGCAAAGUCAUAAGCAAUAUAUUGAAGUAGAACAAAGUCAUAUUCAUAAUAUUGAAGAACAAAGAUAAUUAGAAAGCAAUUAGAAGCACAAUUAGAGAAUUACCAAGAAUCCUCCUGACAGAUCCGGAAACCAAUCGAAGAUUGACUCCUCCUAGUUCUAAUCCUAUGUAGCUAUGCUAAUCUAGAUAUCUAAUUGAUGUGGUGGCUCUAAUCUUGAUCAGAGGCUUCUUCUCCCUUGAUGGAACAAUGAAUUAGGGUUGAGAGGCUCCCUCCUCCAGGGGCCAGGGGGUCUGGUUUUAUAGUCCCUUCAAGUGAAUAUGGGCCAUUGGAUCAAACCGACAUAGAUUGUAUGGUUUAGAUUCAUCCUUUAGGUCGGUGGAGAUCUCCCGCAAAGCAGAGUCCUGAUUGGACUCCUGGAGAGGGCGGGCGCCCAAGGGAACAGGGCGGGCGCCUUGCCUCUGGCCCCGUUUCGCCUCCGCUUCGGUCUCGUGGCUUCUGGAGUCAUCUAGAUGUAAGAUAAUUGCGCGGCACGUUAAUAUCUUUACGUAAUCCUGACGUGUGGGCCUUUCUUCCGUAUUUCCUGAUAACCCCCUGCAGAAAUAGACAAACACCAAAACUCGUGGAAUUCUGUCAGAUAAAACCCUAAGUCUAGAUGUUGAUUUCAUUUGGAUCCUUUUCUUUAUUUAUUUGAUAAUUAAAUUUGAUACUUAAGGACCGUCAACAAUUAUCAAUCAUAACUAUAUCAAAUAUAGAACUAGAGCAAACUAAGAACAUAAUAAUUAGAGAUAUAAUGCAAUUAGAACAAAGAAUUAGAGAAAGAUAUGAAUAAUACCAAUCUUUAUUACCGAAGAUCUGAAUCCAGAGUGUAGCGCUCUACUUCUCCAAUUGCUAUCUAAUCAAACCUCUAAACUUGAAGGAUUAGGGAGUAGCUAAUUCUAAUUCUCUAUGGGAGAGAAGUUCUAAACUCUAACUUUGAUGGCUACCUCUGAUAAUGAUUUCUUCUCUUCUCUUCUCUCCCCCAGGGGUGGAGAGGCCUUAGUUAUAUAGUCCUUACAAGUGAAUUUGGGCCGUUGGAUCAAACCGACAUUGAUCGCACGGUUUUCCUUGAUCCUUUAGGUCGGUGGAGCUUGGUCCCCGAAAAGAGUUCUGAUUGGAGUCCAACCCAGGGCGGGCGCCUAAGGGGGGUGAGCGGCCGCCCUGCCCCCGAGCCCGAUCGUCGUCUCGUUCGUUCCCGUGGCUUCUGGACUCUUCUAGAUUGAGGAAAAUUGCGCGGCAUGUAAUUAUCUCGUUGUAAACAUGACUAUUGACACUUGCUAACACCACUUGAAUACUAGGUUGUCAUCCCCAGCAUGGCACUAGAGUGUACUAUGGUAUUUAUACGCACACAGAUAAUCUGCAAGCGCACGGAUACUAUUGAAGCUUUUACCCGGUUAAAGGUUUUAUCGUAUCCACAGGGAAACGGGAGAAUUGAUCUACGCUCUAACUUAACCAAGAUAAGUAAAUAGGUGUAAAUAGGAAAGAUGGUAGAAUCAAAUAAGAACAAUAUUAAAGGUAAGAUAACAGUGAGUGAUAAUAUGGGAAUAGAGAAUAGAGCAAUUCUAGUAUAUGGGCGAUGGUAGCAGAAUAGAGAGGGUAACUAUGGUUUCUCUACUUCAAAGGGGUUUGUCUAUGUCUGGGACGAACCAUGUGAUAAGAGUACACCACAAAGGAUGCUUAUCCUUUGGCCGAUAAACCCUACCCGUCCUGCUAACGAGAGGUGGACUACAGAGGACCAACGUAACUGUCACCUACGCGGCCUACCACACGAUCCAGCUAGACAGGGGAUAUCCACAAGUAAUCUAGAUCUAAGCACCUCGCUUACACCUAUACUACAACUCUCACCUAUAGCGUCCUAUAGAUUAGGAUACUCAAAAGAGUUGUGAACCAGAACAUACAUAAUUAGUAAUUGCAUAAUGAAUUAGAAGUAGAUUACCAGAGUCAUCCCAUGAGCAAGCUUGAUUAGAGCUUGAUCAUGACGAAGUACAACCGGAGGAAGAACCGACAGGCCGGCCUCUCCUCUAAUCCUUCUUCACUCUCCAUCUUGCUACUAUCUAGAUCUACUCUAGUUUAGAGAAGAGAGGAGAGCUCUCAUCUCUAAACCCUAGCUUUUGCUCUGUCUAUGAAUAAUGAAUAAUGAUCAAGGGGUGCCUCCUCCAGGGGCCAGGGGGUCUGGUUAUAUAGUCCCCUCAAGUGAACCUGGGCCGUCGGAUCAAACUAACAUUGAUUGAAUGGUUAUCCUUGAUCCUUUAGGUCGGUGGAGCUUGGUCCGCAAAGUUGGACGUGUUUGACUACAACUCCUGGGCGGGCGCCCUGCCUCUGGCCCCGUUCGGCCUCCGCCUCCUUCCCGUGGCUUCUGGAGUCUUCUAGAUGUAAGAUAAUUGCGCGGCACGUUAAUAUCUCUAUGUAAUCCCGACGUGUGGGCCUUUCUUCCUUAUUUCCUGAUAACCCCCUGCAGAAAUAGACAAACACCAAAACUCGUGGAAUUCUGUCAGAUAAAACCCUAAGUUUAGAUGUUGGUUGUAUUUGGAUCCUUUUCUUUAUUUAUUUGAUAAUUAAAUUUGAUACUUAAGGACCGUCAACAAACUCCCCCAAGCUUACCUCUUGCUCAUCCCUGAGCAAGGAUAGACUCAGCAAUGGAUCAGAAGUUGUUGCAAUAUCUUAAAAAUUUGACUGUACACAUGCUUUUAAAUAAGAUCUCAUCUCUGAGUUAGAGUAAACUGUCAAGAACUAAAACUUACUUACUUUACCUUUCACCAUGGGACUUGUAACCGUCACUUCUGUCUUGAGUAGUUAAAAGAUAGAACAGUCUAGCCAAGUGCCAUGUCUCUUAUUCUUGAUCAGCUAUAGCUCUGGAGUUUUUGCAGUUUUUCAAAUAAAACUCAGAGAUUCCUUGUAUGACUCUCUAAAUCUCUCUUUUAUGGUAUUUCUGGAUCCUUACCAAGGCAUGAUGGUAUAUGCCUUCUCUCAAGAUAUGUGGUAUUUGUGGUAUAAGGCAUAGUGACAUUGCCUUCUCUCUCACCCUACUCUAAUAAGGCUUUAAUAUCUGGAGCUCAUAGGUGGGAGACAGCUAAUACAUACUUACAAGACAUUUAUUGCAUAGUCAAACCAUGGAUCCAGAGAAACAAGUCAAUAAGUCAAAUCAAGAUGUGCAUGUGUGGCGAAUGAAUGGUGUAUGGUGAUGAUGGUGAUAACAAUGGUGGAAGUCUAAUUCUACUUUUGCUCUUUUGAGGGGAUACAUACCUUCCUUGCUUUUUGAAACUUUAUGAGGAGAAUGAGAUGCUCUAUCUUUCAUUUUUUUUCUUUCCUCUCAGGUGGGUAUCCUGUACCCCUAAUUCUACUGUCGGACACUUGUCCAUUUUUACCUCUCGUCUCACUCUUUUUUUUCUUUCGAGGUUCCAGGCACUUGCCCCUUUUUAUUUCCUCGUUUAUUAUUAUUUUUUCUUCUUUUCUCUCUCUUUUCUUUUUUUUCAGAGCACUCAUCUCUUGAGAUAAUAUAGCAAGUGGUAGUAGCAAGAUAACUUGAGCAUUUAUUUCACAAGAGAAAACAGAAAUAUUUUUGGCUAUUCUCUCCCGGAUUAGGAGUAGAAUAUUUUUGGGUGGUUCUGGAGAUGGAAAUGGGUGGAUAUAUGUGGAUGAUACUUCCGGAGUAGAAGUAGCAUAUAUGAGUGAACGUGCAAGUGAAAUCUUGAUUUAACCACAUGACAAGCUCCUAAGGGUCUACACAGCUUGACCACACUCAAUGCUCAUAAGCAGUAAAUAGUACAUGUAUGGUUCAUAGUCUAAUAAGCAUGUAUAUAUGGCUGUGGUAGGAAUUUAAACUUUCAUCAUACAGGAACUCAUCAUGCAAUAUUUUAAAGAUUUUUUAAAGAUAAAAUUCUCCAGAAUUGUAGCAUCUCUAGGAACAGAUAAACAGCAGCUCAACCUUCCCAUAUCAUAUCCGUUAACAGCUUAGAUUUCAGAUCAAGUUUUCAUCCCACAAGUUUAGAUCUAGAGCAAGCUUUAAAUUAUAACAGUUAUGUCUAAACUUGAGAGAGAACUUCAAAUUUGCAAAUUAGGCAGAGCAACUAUUCAUCAUAUCCAUGCUAGAGUUUUAUUAUUAAGAUUCAGAUUAGC
Molecule: long non-coding RNA, 10542 nt
Filed under: Sorghum bicolor (sorghum)
Lineage: Eukaryota; Viridiplantae; Streptophyta; Magnoliopsida; Poales; Poaceae
Description: long non-coding RNA (SBIC_LNC002648)
Rfam family: Plant small nucleolar RNA R71 (bases 4675-4780)
Source: RNAcentral